UACGUAGGGUGCGAGCGUUGUCCGGAAUUAUUGGGCGUAAAGAGCUCGUAGGCGGUGUGUCACGUCGGCCGUGAAAACUUGCAGCUUAACUGUGGGCGUGCGGUCAAUACGGGCAUCACUGGAGUUCGGCAGGGGAGACUGGAAUUCCUGGUGUAGCGGUGAAAUGCGCAGAUAUCAGGAGGAACACCGGUGGCGAAGGCGGGUCUCUGGGCCGAUACUGACGCUGAGGAGCGAAAGCGUGGGGAGCGAACAGG
This 254-nucleotide ribosomal RNA is filed under the name uncultured bacterium. RNAcentral describes it as "partial 16S ribosomal RNA". It matches the Rfam family "Bacterial small subunit ribosomal RNA", at positions 524 to 776 of the family's 1533-position model. The record is from RNAcentral.